Sus scrofa (pig) is the source of this 2842-nucleotide long non-coding RNA. RefSeq lists it as uncharacterized. Lineage: Eukaryota; Metazoa; Chordata; Mammalia; Artiodactyla; Suidae. The record is from RefSeq and is a predicted model, not a curated record.
CAUGGUAUUUGGCUUUCUCUUUCUGACUUAACUUCACUUAAUAUGAGAAUCUCUAGGUCCGUCUGUGUUGUUGCAAAUGGCAUGAUUUCAUCCUUUUUCAUGGCUGAGUAGCAUUUCAUUGUAUAUACAGCAUGGGGCUACAAGGUACACAGCUUUUGGAAUCCAAGAGACCUAGUGUUGACUUUGACUCCUGCUACUUACUACCUAUUACUUACUUGCAGGUUACUUUAAUCCUCAAUUUACUCAUUUGCAAAAUGGGAAUAAGCUUACCCAUCUCCCCAGGUCCUUUGGGGAAUAACUGAAGUAAUAUAUGUCAAGUUCUUCUGAGGGCUGAGGAUACAGAAAUUACUCAAUAAACUUCAUAAAGCUUUCUAACGUUGUGGCAACACAUAUCGCUAAGUUCAAAGCUGGUCAUCUGCAAUGGAUUUCAGUGUUUCCACAUGCCCACAGACAAACAUAGAAGGGUGCUGGACCUGAAUGGUAGUGCCUGAGGAUGAUCCAGCCUGCCAAAUCAGGCUCUCUGCAGUGUGCCCAAGCUGCCAAGCAAAGAACCCCUGAGUAAGUCUCUGCUGAAUAUCCCAGGACACUGUGGCAGCAGACACAAGGCACAGAACCAGCAGACACCUCAAGGAGAGACCAGAUGCCGACGGCCAGCCAUUAGAGCUAACCGCAUAGUUUGCAUUUUUCUAGUUGAUCCCUGACUUACCAACGUGACUAUACUUGCAGGAAUAACUAGUCAGUCCCUUUCAUCUUCACUUAAGACGCCCCUGAAGAGCAUCAGCUUUAUUCCUGCUCUCAAGUGUGUCCUGGAGUUGGGGGCCUUUAUAAGAAAGCCAGGCGGGCUUUGAUAGGAAAGCCCACCACCUGCAGCCGAGAGAGGAGGAAGACCUGCAGAGUCAGCCUGAAUUCAAACCAGUUUUCCCAGCCUCCAGAGAGACAGAGUGGCCGUGAAUGUCUUUUGCCCUUGAGCUCUGAACAGAGACUGUUAGAAGGGGAGGAACACAGAAGACGACCCUAAAUCUCGGCUCCAAAGUCUGGCUUCCGGGCCCAAGGUCCUCAUGAUGACUUGAGCUGGUCUUCUUUCCUUUGACUAAAAAUGUCCUUCCAGAAAGCAUCCCUCUCUGACUCUCCUCUGCCACCCUCUCCAAAUGAAGAAGUGCUCAAGAAAAUUCUUUUAGGCUGACAGCAUCCAAAGCAAACACACAAGUCCCCAAGAGAUUCCUUUUAAAGUAGACGUGAUGCUGGAGAGAGCAGCACCCAGACAAGCUUUGCAAGAAAUCAGAGGGGGUGGCUUUUACGAGGAAAAGAUAAUCUACCAGUGGAAAAAAGAGUGACUUCCAUGGCUGUGCUCUUCUGGUUCUCAUAAUACCACUGACUCCAGGUCUGUGCAGGGAGACACGGCAGAGAGAGAAAGCAGGAAACAAAAGAACCAUCACUGCCUGCAAUAACAGACGACUCUCACAGAAGGAGCUACAUCAGCCACCUUGCAACCAUGAGGCAGCACAUUAACAUGCUAUGGAAACCAGGAUGGACUGAAAGAAGGGACCAUUAUCCUACAGCAGACACAGCAGGCAAUCACUCUGGUGUUGAAAAAGGCAACUGCUAAAACGAUUUGAGACAGAAAGGAGCAUCUCUUCAAGGAGCCAAGGGAAAGUGAAGCAGGUGUGUGUUCUGUCCCCUGAUGGUGAAAGGAGCCAGCGGUUGGUACAUCUGGAAGAAGAGGCCAGCUGCUGAAAGGGGAGGUGAGGGAUGUGCCACAGCUCUGAUUCCACCUGCAACCACAGACCUCUGGAGGCGUCAAAUCAUGGAGACGAUGGGAAGGGGGCUGAUGGAGACAGAAGUCAUUCUGAUUGCAAAGGAAGAAGAAAUAAGAAGAAGAGAAGCAAAAUUUGUGACGAGGUGCUGAAGAGAGAGUUUGUGAUGGACUAUAGCGGGUAGCGUGGGGUCUUGAGGGCCACCUCCAGAAAUUCACAUUGGGUAUCAGGCAUCCUGACUUCUACAGGCAGCUGGCAGGAGGGAUGUGGUGAUGAGCAUAUGGGGGUUGUUCCAUGGCUUCAGAGAAGGUUAACAAACAGAACCCCACAGUGUUGGUUAAUUACUUGCUAUAACCAGGAGGGAGUCCUUAGGGCCGUGCCUGAGGAAUGAUGACCUUGUGGCUUAACAAAUUUGCAAAGGAGUCAACUGGAAUCCUAGCUGGUGGGCUGAUGGCAGGGACAGCAACCACAGCCUGGAAUGAGGACCCCGAAUUAAUACAGCAAAAGUUAAUACAGACAAAGAGGCUUUUAAAAGCAAGCAUUUACCUAUGCAAAAGAUUUAGUAUAUUGAAUGGUCUGUAAACUCAACAGGGAACAGGAAGUGAUGGAUGUGGCUUCCAAAACAAUAAACGCAAUAGUAGAUGGGACCAAUAGGAGGGAUGGGAAUAUAAGGAGAAGUAUGCUGGGACAGGGGCAGAUGGCAGGCAGAGUUGGGCUCUGAGUCAGACUCCCCUCUGCCUUCAUCCUGGCUCUGCCACUUAAGGCUGUAGAAAGAUGGUCAGUGCCAUGCGCAUCUGCUUCCGCAUCUAUCCAGUGGGGAGGAAGAUGGUACUAGUACUAUCUCAUACAGCCAUUUUGAGGAUUAAAUGAGGUAGAUGUACGUAGAGUGCUUAGAAUAGUGUUUGGUGCAUGGGAAGCACUCAGAGAAUGUCACGAAGGAGAAGAAAAUGCGAGGGAGUUGGAAUGGUAAGACCACCAUGAGAAGGUGUGUGAUGCUGGGUUUAAAAAAAUGAAAUAUGAGAGUUCCCGUUGGGGCUAAGCAGUAAGGAACCCGACUAGGAACCAUGAGGUUGCAGGUUCAACCAUGA